CCUAGUGGCGAACGGGUGAGUAACACGUGAGUAACCUGCCCUUGACUCUGGGAUAAGCCUGGGAAACUGGGUCUAAUACUGGAUAUGACUCUUCACCGCAUGGUGGGGGGUGGAAAGCUUUUGUGGUUUUGGAUGGACUCGCGGCCUAUCAGCUUGUUGGUGGGGUAAUGGCCUACCAAGGCGACGACGGGUAGCCGGCCUGAGAGGGUGGACGGCCACACUGGGACUGAGACACGGCCCAGACUCCUACGGGAGGCAGCAGUGGGGAAUAUUGCACAAUGGGCAGCAAGCCUGAUGCAGCGACGCCGCGUGAGGGAUGAAGGCCUUCGGGUUGUAAACCUCUUUCAGUAGGGAAGAAGCGAAAGUGACGGUACCUGCAGAAGAAGCGCCGGCUAACUACGU
This 402-nucleotide ribosomal RNA is filed under the name uncultured bacterium. RNAcentral's name for it is "bacterial SSU rRNA". It matches the Rfam family "Bacterial small subunit ribosomal RNA", at positions 91 to 506 of the family's 1533-position model. The record is from RNAcentral.